AGAGUUUGAUCAUGGCUCAGAUUGAACGCUGGCGGCAGGCCUAACACAUGCAAGUCGAACGGUAACAGGAAGAAGCUUGCUUCUUUGCUGACGAGUGGCGGACGGGUGAGUAAUGUCUGGGAAACUGCCUGAUGGAGGGGGAUAACUACUGGAAACGGUAGCUAAUACCGCAUAACGUCGCAAGACCAAAGAGGGGGACCUUCGGGCCUCUUGCCAUCGGAUGUGCCCAGAUGGGAUUAGCUAGUAGGUGGGGUAACGGCUCACCUAGGCGACGAUCCCUAGCUGGUCUGAGAGGAUGACCAGCCACACUGGAACUGAGGCACGGUCCAGACUCCUACGGGAGGCAGCAGUGGGGAAUAUUGCACAAUGGGCGCAAGCCUGAUGCAGCCAUGCCGCGUGUAUGAAGAAGGCCUUCGGGUUGUAAAGUACUUUCAGCGGGGAGGAAGGGAGUAAAGUUAAUACCUUUGCUCAUUGACGUUACCCGCAGAAGAAGCACCGGCUAACUCCGUGCCAGCAGCCGCGGUAAUACGGAGGGUGCAAGCGUUAAUCGGAAUUACUGGGCGUAAAGCGCACGCAGGCGGUUUGUUAAGUCAGAUGUGAAAUCCCCGGGCUCAACCUGGGAACUGCAUCUGAUACUGGCAAGCUUGAGUCUCGUAGAGGGGGGUAGAAUUCCAGGUGUAGCGGUGAAAUGCGUAGAGAUCUGGAGGAAUACCGGUGGCGAAGGCGGCCCCCUGGACGAAGACUGACGCUCAGGUGCGAAAGCGUGGGGAGCAAACAGGAUUAGAUACCCUGGUAGUCCACGCCGUAAACGAUGUCGACUUGGAGGUUGUGCCCUUGAGGCGUGGCUUCCGGAGCUAACGCGUUAAGUCGACCGCCUGGGGAGUACGGCCGCAAGGUUAAAACUCAAAUGAAUUGACGGGGGCCCGCACAAGCGGUGGAGCAUGUGGUUUAAUUCGAUGCAACGCGUAGAACCUUACCUGGUCUUGACAUCCACAGAACUUUCCAGAGAUGGAUUGGUGCCUUCGGGAACUGUGAGACAGGUGCUGCAUGGCUGUCGUCAGCUCGUGUUGUGAAAUGUUGGGUUAAGUCCCGCAACGAGCGCAACCCUUAUCUUUUGUUGCCAGCGGUCCGGCCGGGAACUCAAAGGAGACUGCCAGUGAUAAACUGGAGGAAGGUGGGGAUGACGUCAAGUCAUCAUGCCCCUUAUGACCUGGGCUACACACGUGCUACAAUGGACAGAACAAAGGGCAGCGAAACCGCGAGGUUAAGCCAAUCCCACAAAUC
Molecule: ribosomal RNA, 1284 nt
Filed under: metagenome
Description: bacterial SSU rRNA
Rfam family: Bacterial small subunit ribosomal RNA
Source: RNAcentral